Molecule: ribosomal RNA, 301 nt
Filed under: uncultured bacterium
Lineage: Bacteria
Description: partial 16S ribosomal RNA
Rfam family: Archaeal small subunit ribosomal RNA
Source: RNAcentral
CAGCCGCCGCGGGAAUACCAGCAGCCCAAGUGGUGGUCGCGAUUAUUGGGCCUAAAGCGCUCGUAGCCGGGCCGGUAAGUCCCUUGUGAAAUCGGACGGCCUAACCGUUCGGCGUGCAAGGGAUACUGUCGGUCUUGAGGCCGGGAGACGUCCGAGGUACUCCGGGGGUAGCGGUGAAAUGUUCUGAUCCUCGGGGGACCACCGGUGGCGAAGGCGUUCGACGAGAACGGGCCUGACGGUGAGGGGCGAAGGCUAGGGGAGCAAACGGGAUUAGAUACCCCCGUAGUCCCUGUCUCUUAUA